AGAUCUGCAGUGUGCAAGUCUUGGAAGUGCAGUGGGAAAAUAUACUUGAGGCUUCAAACAUAAAUUGUGUCCCAAAGUCAGAAAGCCAGAAGAAGAAAUCAUAGGGAUGGUACUGAAGUCAACGUAAUAUCCUUCAUAACUCU
This is a long non-coding RNA of Schistocerca piceifrons (Central American locust), 143 nucleotides long. RefSeq lists it as uncharacterized. The transcript is spliced from 2 exons. The record is from RefSeq and is a predicted model, not a curated record. Lineage: Eukaryota; Metazoa; Arthropoda; Insecta; Orthoptera; Acrididae.